This is a long non-coding RNA of Gastrolobium bilobum, 1127 nucleotides long. RefSeq lists it as uncharacterized. The transcript is spliced from 4 exons. Lineage: Eukaryota; Viridiplantae; Streptophyta; Magnoliopsida; Fabales; Fabaceae. The record is from RefSeq and is a predicted model, not a curated record.
UGUUGAAAAUUUCAAACCUGAUGGCUCUUGAUGUAAUAUUUUAAGUACCUCUAAACUCUUUUUCCUCAAACUCAUAACCUCCAAUAAGAAGAACUAGAACAACGUAAGGAAGAAGACUCUGCUCGUGUCUCCAUUCAACAAGAGAACCAAAGGCAUGAAAACACACACCAAAAAAGUAAAAGUAAAAUAAAAAUGAAACAGUUUUUCAGGUUGUUCUCUGUUAGUCCUUGACGAAAGUUGCAAUUUUUACAGCCGGAUGAUGAGGCGGACUUGGUGAUGGCCCAAGUCCCUGAUGGUCGAGUUACUAGAACUUUGUAAAAGAAAUUCAAGGAAGGCUAAUUCAAUAAAAUUAGGGUGUAGGCAAAGGCUUCUUUGAUCCAACAAGACAUGGAUAAGUCAUAAUUGUUCUGCUAUUCUAGUCAAAGAUAUUAUGUAUGAUCACAACGAUAAGAACCUUCCCCACAAAAUGCCGUUUGAUGUGUAGAGGACAUACCUGAGGGAGAGAGCUUAGUUAUGAUUAUAUUUGCUGCAAGGGAAGAAUUAUCAAAGUUGGGUGUAUCAGUUGCAACUGUGGUUCUCGACAACGCAUUUUGCAUACUUAAGUUCGAAGAUAAGCUUUUCAUGUUACCAUGGUGGGUGAAUCUACAAAUUGGACUCCAUGUUUUCAAACAAACAUGUAGCAUGAAGGAUAUCCAAUUCGACGACCCUAAAAGAAAAGCAUAGAGUGGACGCAGUAGUUUCUCAGAUUCGAUUUAUGCAGCACCAGCAAAAUUUGGCUUCAUUGGCUUUAUUGGAUCCACAGAUGCCAAUUCCAGCAGGAAAUUUCUGUGUCCUUUAAGAGAAACACAAGAAGAAUCCCUUGUUACAUGUAUCCAUGAGUACCAUGAUAAAGACUCUGCCGUGUCUGCUUAGUGGUGAUGGCAAGAGUGAGACCUGAGUGUGACUACUUGAGACUAUUCUCAGAGCUGUGAUGGUGGCUGGGUGGUGUGUCUGAUUCAAGUCAAGCAUAUUAAAUUUUAUUUUAUUUUCAAAUUUUUUUUAUUUAAGCAUGAUGACUGAAUUACAACUUUUAAUGUCAGUUUGAGGUUGUUAUUUUAUUUUUUUAUACAUGUGUCCUGGUCUGUCAU